UAAGACGUAGGGGGCGAGCGUUACCCGGAAUCACUGGGCGUAAAGGGCGAGUAGGCGGCCUGAUCAGUCGUGGGUGAAAACCUUGGGCUCAACCGAAGGAGCGCACACGAGACGGUGAGGCUAGAGGGCAGCAGAGGCGGGUGGAAUUCCCGGAGUAGCGGUGGAAUGCGUAGAGAUCGGGAGGAACCCCAGAGGCGAAGGCGACCCGCUGGGCUGAGCCUGACGCUGAGGCGCGAAAGCGUGGGGAGCAAACAGGAUUAGAUACCCUGGUAGUCCACGCCCUAAACGAUGGACGCUAGGUAUGGGGGGUAUCGACCCCCUCCGUGCCGAAGCUAACGCGAUAAGCGUCCCGCCUGGG
Molecule: ribosomal RNA, 358 nt
Filed under: uncultured bacterium
Lineage: Bacteria
Description: bacterial SSU rRNA
Rfam family: Bacterial small subunit ribosomal RNA
Source: RNAcentral